This 252-nucleotide ribosomal RNA is filed under the name uncultured bacterium. RNAcentral's name for it is "partial 16S ribosomal RNA". It matches the Rfam family "Bacterial small subunit ribosomal RNA", at positions 524 to 776 of the family's 1533-position model. The record is from RNAcentral.
UACGUAGGGGGCUAGCGUUAUCCGGAAUUACUGGGCGUAAAGGGUGCGUAGGUGGUUUCUUAAGUCAGAGGUGAAAGGCUACGGCUCAACCGUAGUAAGCCUUUGAAACUGGGGAACUUGAGUGCAGGAGAGGAGAGUGGAAUUCCUAGUGUAGCGGUUAAAUGCGUAGAUAUUAGGAGGAACACCAGUUGCGAAGGCGGCUCUCUGGACUGUAACUGACACUGAGGCACGAAAGCGUGGGGAGCAAACAGG